GUUUACAUAGUUUAACAAAACAUUACACUUUCACUGUAAAAAUAAAGGAAUCUUUUGUAAAUA
RNAcentral lists this transfer RNA (63 nucleotides) under Glyptotermes sp. RNAcentral describes it as "tRNA-Glu". It matches the Rfam family "tRNA". From Rfam's summary of the family: Transfer RNA (tRNA) molecules are approximately 80 nucleotides in length. Their secondary structure includes four short double-helical elements and three loops (D, anti-codon, and T loops). The record is from RNAcentral. Lineage: Eukaryota; Metazoa; Arthropoda; Insecta; Blattodea; Kalotermitidae.